RNAcentral lists this ribosomal RNA (426 nucleotides) under uncultured bacterium. Its description in RNAcentral is "partial 16S ribosomal RNA". It matches the Rfam family "Bacterial small subunit ribosomal RNA", at positions 354 to 796 of the family's 1533-position model. The record is from RNAcentral.
GUGAGGAAUUUUCCGCAAUGGGCGAAAGCCUGACGGAGCAAUGCCGCGUGAAGGAUGAAGGCCUAUGGGUUGUAAACUUCUUUUCUCAGAAAAGAAUUAUGACGGUAUCUGAGGAAUAAGCAUCGGCUAACUCUGUGCCAGCAGCCGCGGUAAGACAGAGGAUGCAAGCGUUAUCCGGAAUGAUUGGGCGUAAAGCGUCUGUAGGUUGUUUAAAAAGUAUUCUGUCAAAGAUUAGGGCUUAACCCUAGAUAGGCAGAAUAAACUUUUAAGCUAGAGUUUGGUAGAGGCAGAGGGAAUUCCCGGUGGAGCGGUGAAAUGCGUAGAUAUCGGGAGGAACACCAAAGGCGAAGGCACUCUGCUGGGCCAAUACCAACACUGAGAGACGAAAGCGAGGGGAGCAAAUGGGAUUAGAUACCCUGGUAGUCC